RNAcentral lists this ribosomal RNA (498 nucleotides) under uncultured bacterium. RNAcentral describes it as "partial 16S ribosomal RNA". It matches the Rfam family "Bacterial small subunit ribosomal RNA", at positions 30 to 523 of the family's 1533-position model. The record is from RNAcentral.
AUUGAACGCUGGCGGCAUGCCUUACACAUGCAAGUCGAACGGUAACAGGUCUUCGGAUGCUGACGAGUGGCGAACGGGUGAGUAAUACAUCGGAACGUGCCUAGUAGUGGGGGAUAACUACUCGAAAGAGUGGCUAAUACCGCAUGAGAUCUACGGAUGAAAGCAGGGGAUCGCAAGACCUUGUGCUACUAAAGCGGCCGAUGGCAGCUUAGGUAGUUGGUGGGUUAAAAGCUUACCAAGCCGACGAUCUGGAGCUGGUCGGAGAGGACGAUCAGCCACACUGGGACUGGGACACGGCCCAGACUCCUACGGGAGGCAGCAGUGGGGAAUUUUGGACAAUGGGCGCAAGCCUGAUCCUGCAAUGCCGCGUGCAGGAUGAAGGCCUUCGGGUUGUAAACUGCUUUUGUACGGAACGAAAAGCCCUGGGUUAAUACCCUGGGGUCAUGACGGUACCGUAAGAAUAAGCACCGGCUAACUACGUGCCAGCCGCCGCAGUAA